Molecule: ribosomal RNA, 210 nt
Filed under: uncultured bacterium
Lineage: Bacteria
Description: partial 16S ribosomal RNA
Rfam family: Bacterial small subunit ribosomal RNA
Source: RNAcentral
CGCGUAGGCGGACCUUCAAGUCGGGUGUGAAAACCGGCGGCUCAACUGCCGGCCUGCAUUCGAUACUGUUGGUCUUGAGUACAUGAGAGGAAAGCGGAAUUCCAGGUGUAGCGGUGAAAUGCGUAGAUAUCUGGAAGAACACCAGUAGCGAAGGCGGCUUUCUGGCGUGAUACUGACGCUGAAGCGCGAAGGCUAAGGGGGAGCGAAACA